GAAAUGCGAUAAGUAGUGUGAAUUGCAGAAUUCAGUGAAUCAUCGAAUCUUUGAACGCACAUUGCGCCUCCUGGUAUUCCGGGAGGCAUGCCUGUUCGAGCGUCAUCAAAAUCGCUCAAGCUUGAAUUUAUUCAUGGCUUGGUAUUGGAGUUGGAGUGGACAUGUGCCAUUCCUAUCCGAAAAUCAAUGGCAAAGUUAUCUGUACCAAUAGGCGUAGUAAUCAACAUUAUGUUUCGCUGUGAUAGAGAUAAAUCUUCGGCCGUUAACCCCCCUAUUUUAAGUGUUUGACCUCGGAUCAGGUAGGGAUACCCGCUGAACUUAA
Molecule: unclassified non-coding RNA, 322 nt
Filed under: uncultured Pezizomycetes
Lineage: Eukaryota; Fungi; Ascomycota; Pezizomycetes
Description: sequence contains ITS1
Rfam family: 5.8S ribosomal RNA (bases 1-105)
Source: RNAcentral